This 517-nucleotide long non-coding RNA is filed under the name Coffea arabica (coffee). RNAcentral describes it as "long non-coding RNA (CARA_LNC001917)". The record is from RNAcentral. Lineage: Eukaryota; Viridiplantae; Streptophyta; Magnoliopsida; Gentianales; Rubiaceae.
CUUUUGCUCUUCAUAUCCAGGUAUCUCAAGCUGUCCAUGCAAACAGGUGCGCUUGAGUAGGGAUGAUAUGCAUUCACUUAAUGAAGUAAUAGCAGGGCCAUAAGCAGUCAGCUGAGCAUGUAGACCUUCAUUUUGACUUGCCAACAAAUUUGCUCUCUCUCUCAGAAGCUUGAUAUCAGCAUCUUUGGUAGUGCUUUCAUUUUUAAAAGUCUCACAUGCUUCAGUGAGCUGAUGAAGCUUCUCUUCAUAGAGAAUUUGGUAGAGCUUGGAAACCUCUAGUUCAACAAACAAAUCUGAAGCAUGUGCCUCCCACAUUUCAAUAUCAUCCCUUGCCAUUUCGAGCUCAGAGAGCAGACUUUCCUCUCUAACUUUUGUCUUUUGAUGAUCUUCAUGAAGUUGCUGUAGUUCCAUUUCCUUCUGAAUUAAAAUCUCACCCAAUUUCCUCUCCAUUAAGUUCAAUCUUUUCCUAAGAUCAUCAUUAUCAUUAUUUACUUCAUCUAGUUCUUCAGCCAGUGCU